GUGGCUUUUCUGUCCAACGUGCUGUGCUGUGUGUGCCUGCAGGUCAUAUUUAUCUGCCUGUCAGGACUGUCGGAGCACUGGAUGGAGAGCAGGUCAUAUGAAGAGGAUUAGGGAGUAAAAGGCAGCUUGUACUGAAGUGCAGGGAAAGUAUAAAUAUUGAUAUAUAUUGGCACAGUGCCUGGCCUUAAUGCUUAAAAUCCUUUGGAGAGCUGUCUGCAUAUUUACUCUAUUAAUGAUCAAAUGCAAGGCUGUGUUGGGAAAGGUCUUCCAUUUGGAAGUCAGUAGUUGAGACUGUCUUGCCUAUGAAAAAUAGGGAGAAUUUUCGUUAGAGGAUGUAGGAUUCUGGCUGGUAAUAGUCUUAAUUCAAGGUAUUUUUAGAGAAUUGAUUUAAUACAAGCAGAACAAAUGGCCAGAAGUGUAAUGAGAGACAAGUUGAAAUUAGAAAGUAGAUGUGCAUUUUGAAUGUAUUGUCAUAGCAACUGAUUAAAUUCUCCCUCUCUUGCUGUUCUGGGGACCUUUUAAAUGUGCUUUGGCUAAAUAAAAAGUAUUAGACUAUUUCAGAGCCAAAAGGUCAGUUCUUGUUGUCUCUUUUGCACUUUAAUUCUAGUACACUGAUACUUGCUAACCACUUAUAACCCUAGAUGCAGAAUGAGAACUUGGGUUAUUAACAAUAAAGAAGUAAACAGCAGAAAGACUUGACCUUUCUUUUGAAUUGCCCUACAGUGUUAAAAAAUACCAAACAAACCUCCUUCCCCAAAGAAACACCCCCAAAAUACCCCAAGAACUCACCAAACAGAAAAUCACCGACAACCAAAAAGCAGAAGUAACAAACAUGAACAGCAAGUGGAGGAAGAGUUUGAAAGCGGGCUGGACAGAAGCAGAAGUGUUACUGCCCACUCUUAGGCCACUGUGCUGAUUAAAUGGGUGUUGUUAGGUUUAGAUCAGUAGUUCGUUGUUGUUGGGUUUUUCAGUGGUGUUGAUUUUUUUGUUGUCGUUGUGGGGGAUUGUUUGUUUGUUUGUUUUACUUUGUUUUUUUUCUGUAUUAAAAAUCUGGCUCAGUUACUCUCUAGUUCUGGUGUGUUUUCUUUUCCAGGUGGUUGGUGUUUCUGCAGUGUUUGGCACAGGACUGGGGGAGAUUUUUACCCAGCUUUCUAAAGCUGUAGAUGAAUAGGAGAGACUGAAUGCACUCCCUUUAUUCACCUUUUCAGAGAGUAUCGUCCAGAAUACGAGCGCCUGAGAAAAACACUGGUAAGUGUUUUUAGCUGUUUUACAUCUGAACAGUGUAUCUGGGGUCACUUUUAGGCACACAAUUGCCUUUAUGUUGUGAGGGUCUAACAUUUCAUUUACUAGUUGUACUCACUGUGGGAAAACUCCUGUCCUGAAGGAGUCCACCAUUUGCCUUUUUUUUCCUAGAUGUGGUGGAGCAUAUCUUUACAAAAAAAAAGAUUUUGUAAAACAGAUGUUGCUCAGUGGUUUAGUGCUAAUAUUUGAGCUAAUUGUGUGAAAAUGAUUGGGAAAUAAGAUUGUGUCUUCCAUUCAGAUGGAUAGAGAGUUCUUAAAAAUAAAUUUCCAAAGGGAUUUGUUGAGACUA
Pipra filicauda (Wire-tailed manakin) is the source of this 1591-nucleotide long non-coding RNA. RefSeq lists it as uncharacterized. The transcript has 3 exons. The record is from RefSeq and is a predicted model, not a curated record. Lineage: Eukaryota; Metazoa; Chordata; Aves; Passeriformes; Pipridae.